This 74-nucleotide transfer RNA is filed under the name Candidatus Omnitrophota bacterium. Its description in RNAcentral is "tRNA-Gly". It matches the Rfam family "tRNA". Rfam says of the family: Transfer RNA (tRNA) molecules are approximately 80 nucleotides in length. Their secondary structure includes four short double-helical elements and three loops (D, anti-codon, and T loops). Lineage: Bacteria; Pseudomonadati; Candidatus Omnitrophota. The record is from RNAcentral.
GCGGGCAUAACACAAUGGUAGUGUCGUAGCCUUCCAAGCUACUUAUACGGGUUCGAUUCCCGUUGCCCGCUCCA